RNAcentral lists this small RNA (32 nucleotides) under Arabidopsis thaliana (thale cress). Its description in RNAcentral is "ATSL125380". The record is from RNAcentral. Lineage: Eukaryota; Viridiplantae; Streptophyta; Magnoliopsida; Brassicales; Brassicaceae.
AGAGGAAAAGAGCCGUUCCCAGUUUUCUAAGA